GACAGAGGGUGCAAACGUUGUUCGGAGUUAUUGGGCGUAAAGGGCUCGUAGGCGGUUUGUCGCGUCGGGAGUGAAAACCUCGGGCUUAUCUCGGGGCUUGCUUUCGAUACGGGCAGACUGGAGGUAUGCAGGGGAGAACGGAAUUCCUGGUGUAGCGGUGAAAUGCGCAGAUAUCAGGAGGAACACCGGUGGCGAAGGCGGGUCUCUGGGCCGUAACUGACGCUGAGGAGCGAAAGCGUGGGGAGCGAACAGG
This 253-nucleotide ribosomal RNA is filed under the name uncultured bacterium. RNAcentral describes it as "partial 16S ribosomal RNA". It matches the Rfam family "Bacterial small subunit ribosomal RNA", at positions 524 to 776 of the family's 1533-position model. The record is from RNAcentral.